This 850-nucleotide ribosomal RNA is filed under the name uncultured organism. RNAcentral's name for it is "bacterial SSU rRNA". It matches the Rfam family "Bacterial small subunit ribosomal RNA", at positions 13 to 884 of the family's 1533-position model. The record is from RNAcentral.
UUGAUCCUGGCUCAGGAUGAACGCUAGCGGCGCGCUUAAUGCAUGCAAGUCGAGCGAUGAGGCCUUCUUCGGAGGGCACAUCAGCGGCAGACGGGUGAGUAACACGUGGGUGACCUGCCCUUGAGACGGGGAUAACGGAUGGAAACAUGCGCUAAUACCCGAUAGGGUCCCAGGGUCAAAGCUGGGAUGAAAGCUUUGUGUGCUCAAGGAGGGGCUCGCGGCCCAUCAGCUAGUUGGUGAGGUAACGGCUCACCAAGGCGAAGACGGGUAGGGGGUGUGAGAGCACGGCCCCCCACAAUGGGACUGAUACACGGCCCAUACUCCUACGGGAGGCAGCAGCAGGGAAUAUCGCACAAUGGACGGAAGUCUGAUGCAGCGACGCCGCGUGGAUGAUGACGGCCUUCGGGUUGUAAAAUCCUUUACGGGGUGACGAGGAAGGACGGUAGCCCCGGAACAAGCGUCGGCUAACUACGUGCCAGCAGCCGCGGUAAGACGUAGGACGCAAGCGUUAUCCGGAUUUACUGGGCGUCAAGCGUCUGUAGGCGGGUGAGUAAGUUGGGCGUGAAAGCUCCGGGCUCAACCCGGAGAGGCCGUUCACUACUGCUGAUCUAGAGGAGGCCAGAGGGGAGUGGAAUUCCUGGAGUACCGGUCACAUGCGCAGAUAUCAGGAAGAACACCAGUGGCGGAGGCGGCUCCCUAGGGCCCACCUGACGCUGAGAGACGACAGCUAUGGGAGCGAACAGGAUUAGAGACCCUGGUAGUCCUAGCCGUAAACGAUGGAUGCUAGGUGUAGGGCCGUAGAGGCUCUGUGCCGGAGCGAACGCGAUAGGCAUCCCGCCUGGGGAGUACG